UCGGGAAUUUUGGGCAAUGGGCGAAAGCCUGACCCAGCAACGCCGCGUGAAGGAUGAAGUAUUUCGGUAUGUAAACUUCGAAAGAAUAGGAAGAAUAAAUGACGGUACUAUUUAUAAGGUCCGGCUAACUACGUGCCAGCAGCCGCGGCAAUACGUAGGGACCAAGCGUUGUUCGGAUUUACUGGGCGUAAAGGGCGCGUAGGCGGCAAUUCAAGUCAUCUGUGAAAUCUCCGGGCUUAACUCGGAACGGUCAGAUGAUACUGCUUUGCUAGAGUGCAGAAGGGGCAAUCGGAAUUCUUGGUGUAGCGGUGAAAUGCGUAGAUAUCAAGAGGAACACCUGAGGUGAAGACGGGUUGCUGGGCUGACACUGACGCUGAGGCGCGAAAGCCAGGGGAGCAAACGGGAUUAGAUACCCGGGUAGUCCCUGAGCGGGCUGGCAAGGCGCAU
This 447-nucleotide ribosomal RNA is filed under the name uncultured bacterium. RNAcentral describes it as "bacterial SSU rRNA". It matches the Rfam family "Bacterial small subunit ribosomal RNA", at positions 355 to 825 of the family's 1533-position model. The record is from RNAcentral.